This 35-nucleotide ribosomal RNA is filed under the name Ficus hadroneura. RNAcentral describes it as "partial 28S ribosomal RNA". Lineage: Eukaryota; Viridiplantae; Streptophyta; Magnoliopsida; Rosales; Moraceae. The record is from RNAcentral.
ACGCGACCCCAGUUCAGGCGGGGCUACCCGCUGAG